GCUUGCUUCAGCAGCCCAUAUUAAAAUUGCAAUGAUACAAAAAAAGGUUAGCAUGGCCCCUAUGCAAAUUCAUGAAGCACUCCAUAUUUUU
RNAcentral lists this small nuclear RNA (91 nucleotides) under Castor canadensis (American beaver). The record is from RNAcentral. Lineage: Eukaryota; Metazoa; Chordata; Mammalia; Rodentia; Castoridae.